CGCAUCUGUGCAUGCAGCAUAUCAAUAAGCGGAGGAAAAGUACUACCUACGCUUAGGAUGUUGACUCGUCGUGCGUGCGUGAGUCUAUACAUGACUCUGUGCAUAUCAAUAAGCGGAGGAAAAGAAACUAACAAGGAUUCCCUUAGUAACGGCGAGUGAAGCGGGAAGAGCUCAAAUUUGAAAUCUUCAAGGUUUUACCUCGACGAAUUGUAGUUUAAAGAAGUGUUUUCUGUUGAAGUUUUGGUAAAAGUUCCUUGGAAUAGGACAUCAUAGAGGGUGAGAAUCCCGUAUUUGACCAUUAUUUUCAGCUGUGUGAUACACUUUCAAAGAGUCGGAUUGUUUGGGAAUGCAGUCCAAAAUGGGUGGUAAAUUUCAUCUAAAGCUAAAUAUUGGCGAGAGACCGAUAGCGAACAAGUACCGUGAGGGAAAGAUGAAAAGAACUUUGAAAAGAGAGUUAAACAGUACGUGAAAUUGUCAAAAGGGAAGCGUUUGACACCAGUGUUGUUUUCUCGAAAAUCAAUUAAAAAGAGUUAGAUUUUGUUGUGUAUUGACCUUAACAGCUUGCAUUUCAAUUUUCUUGCUUUUUUUAAUGCACUUUUCGUUUAACAAGUCAACAUCAGUUUCUUUUGUUGUAAAAAGGUCAUUGGAAGGUGGCUUUCUUUUCGGAGAAAGUGUUUAUAGCCUUUGACUCCUGCAAUCGGAGAGACUGAGGUCUGCAGCGUAGAUCCUUCGGGGUUAGAUACAUUUGUGCUAAGUUAUAGCUUUUUAUAGACAACUUGUUGACUAUGAUUAGUCUUGUAGCUUACUCGCUUAUGCUAUUUUACCUACGCUUAGGAUGUUGAUCUGUAGUGCGUGCGC
Molecule: ribosomal RNA, 858 nt
Filed under: uncultured Neocallimastigales
Lineage: Eukaryota; Fungi; Neocallimastigomycota; Neocallimastigomycetes; Neocallimastigales
Description: partial large subunit ribosomal RNA
Rfam family: Eukaryotic large subunit ribosomal RNA
Source: RNAcentral